CCUACGGGAGGCAGCAGUGAGGAAUAUUCGUCAAUGGACGAGAGUCUGAACCAGCCAAGUCGCGUGAAGGAUGACUGCCCUCUGGGCUGUAAACUUCUUUUAUAUGGGAAUAAAAUGUUCCACGUGUGGGAUUUUGUAUGUACCAUAUCAAUAAGGAUCGGCUAACUCCGUGCCAGCAGCCGCGGUAAUACGGAGGAUCCGAGCGUUAUCCGGAUUUAUUGGGUUUAAAGGGAGCGUAGGUGGAUUGUUAAGUCAGUUGUGAAAGUUUGCGGCGCAACCGUAAAAUUGCAGUUGAAACUGGCAGUCUUGAGAGCAGGAGAGGUGGGCGGAAUUCGUGGUGUAGCGGUGAAAUGCGUAGAUAUAACGAAGAACUCCAGUUGCGAAGGCGGCUCACUGGACUGCAACUGACACUGAGGCUCGAAAGUGUGGGGAGCAAACAGGAUUAGAUACCCUAGUAGUC
Molecule: ribosomal RNA, 460 nt
Filed under: uncultured bacterium
Lineage: Bacteria
Description: partial 16S ribosomal RNA
Rfam family: Bacterial small subunit ribosomal RNA
Source: RNAcentral